ACUCCUACGGGAGGCAGCAGUGGGGAAUAUUGCACAAUGGGCGCAAGCCUGAUGCAGCCAUGCCGCGUGUGUGAAGAAGGCCUUCGGUUGUAAAGCACUUUCAGCAGUGAGGAAGGCGGGUAUGUUAAUAGCAUAUUCGUUUGACGUUAGCUGCAGAAGAAGCACCGGCUAACUCCGUGCCAGCAGCCGCGGUAAUACGGAGGGUGCGAGCGUUAAUCGGAAUUACUGGGCGUAAAGCGCAUGCAGGUGGUUUGUUAAGUCAGAUGUGAAAGCCCGGGGCUCAACCUCGGAAUAGCAUUUGAAACUGGCAGACUAGAGUACUGUAGAGGGGGUAGAAUUUCAGGUGUAGCGGUGAAAUGCGUAGAGAUCUGAAGGAAUACCGGUGGCGAAGGCGGCCCCCUGGACAGAUACUGACACUCAGAUGCGAAAGCGUGGGGAGCAAACAGGAUUAGAUACCCUGGUAGGAUAGCG
Molecule: ribosomal RNA, 471 nt
Filed under: uncultured bacterium
Lineage: Bacteria
Description: bacterial SSU rRNA
Rfam family: Bacterial small subunit ribosomal RNA
Source: RNAcentral